CGGACGGGUGAGUAACGCGUGGAAAACCUGCCGUAUACUGGGGGAUAACACUUAGAAAUAGGUGCUAAUACCGCAUAAGCGCACAGCUUCGCAUGAAGUGGUGUGAAAAACUCUGGUGGUAUACGAUGGUUCCGCGUCUGAUUAGCUUGUUGGUGGGGUAAUGGCUCACCAAGGCGACGAUCAGUAGCCGGCCCGAGAGGGUGAACGGCCACAUUGGGACUGAGACACGGCCCAAACUCCUACGGAAGGCAGCAG
RNAcentral lists this ribosomal RNA (255 nucleotides) under uncultured bacterium. RNAcentral's name for it is "partial 16S ribosomal RNA". It matches the Rfam family "Bacterial small subunit ribosomal RNA", at positions 99 to 354 of the family's 1533-position model. The record is from RNAcentral.